GAUGAAGAACGUAGCGAAAUGCGAUACGUAAUGUGAAUUGCAGAAUUCAGUGAAUCAUCGAAUCUUUGAACGCAUAUUGCGCUCUCUGGUAUUCCGGAGAGCAUGCUUGUUUGAGUAUCAGUAAACACCUCAACUUCCAUAUCUUUUUUGAAAUGGGAGUUGGACUUGAGUGAUCCCAACGCUUUUCCUCACCGAAAAGUGGCGGGUUACUUGAAAUGCAGGUGCAGCUGGACUUUUCUCUGAGCUAUAAGCAUAUCUAUUUAGUCUGCCUAAAAAACAGAUUAUUACCUUUGCUGCAGCUAACAUAAAGGAGAUUAGUUCUUGUGCUGACUGAUGCAGGAUUCACAAAGACAGGCUUCGGCCGACUUUGUAAACUCGAUCUCAAAUCAAGUAAGACUACCCGCUGAACUUAAGCAUAUCAAUAAGCGGGAGGA
This 434-nucleotide unclassified non-coding RNA is filed under the name soil metagenome. Its description in RNAcentral is "partial contains 5.8S ribosomal RNA, internal transcribed spacer 2, and large subunit ribosomal RNA". The stretch from base 1 to 120 matches the Rfam family "5.8S ribosomal RNA", at positions 35 to 154 of the family's 154-position model. The record is from RNAcentral.